This is an RNA transcript of Photinus pyralis (common eastern firefly), 1751 nucleotides long. RefSeq lists it as uncharacterized. NCBI's taxonomy places the organism in Eukaryota, Metazoa, Arthropoda, Insecta, Coleoptera, Lampyridae. The record is from RefSeq and is a predicted model, not a curated record. The transcript has 7 exons.
CAUCGUAUGGAAGGAGUGAUAUACACUUGCGUCCCGAUCAGGUCAGGUCUUUCAUUUUAAUUUGUGCAUUGUGAGCAGCUAGUUCCUCUUCCAACAACAGAAAUGUCACAACGGCCUUAUUUAGAUCAAGAAGAACGCUUUCGGCCAAUCUGUUACAGACACAACACAAACAAACAAACAAGAGGGGUAGUGAAUUGCGCGACACAUAAAAUAUUGGGUUCCGCAAUCAUAAACAAACAAAAUUGGGAACCCAUGGAUGUAGUUAACAAAAAGUGAAAGGUGGUGUUUACACAGAAGCUUGCUGCAGUAGUACUUCUACAUGUGAGUACAACAGGGACACCCUUUCCUCCCCCGUUGGGAUAUACAUACCCCCCAUCCCCCGAAUUGGAUCAUGGCUUUGGUAAAGUUCACCAGUGAUGUAACUAAGGAGCUACCUUGUUUUGUGGUGCAAGGUCGUGCCCUGGGAUUUCUCCGGCGAAAAAAUCCUUGCUGAAGAGGAUUACCCGGUGACUAACUAAGGAAUGGCCUUGUUUGUGAUUUUCUACUGCAUUAUCAACUACAUCAGGAGCAAGACAUAAUAUAUUUGCAUAACAUCUGCAUAUAAAAGUGGGCCAAAGAUGAACCCUUGGGGAACUCCGUGAUACGGAGCACUACACACUGCUUUCUAUUUGUAAACUGAUGUGUAAGUGCAGUGUGUCCAAUUUGUAUACGAUGAAUCUUAAUAUUCUCUUCUCUUAGACCCAACAUUCCUAGUAGAUAUAGUUUCUAACAUCGGCCUCUAUCAUAAAAGUGACGCCUACUCGAGGAUUAGAUGCUCCUUGCAGGCGACAAAGUCUGCUUAUUCUUUUCCAGUGCUUUGUUCUAGGGCCUAAUUCGGAGCAGACUGGUACAAUUGUUCAUGGUGUCUUCGGAAUACAUCGUGACCAAAUUAUGGGUAACGAUUAUAAACUUUCCUUCUUCUCACAAUAGAGCACAAGAAUUGAAUUGUGAUACUCCAUCAACCAGCAUUCUCAGCACCGUUCUCAGUUUUGGAUCCAUCAAAAUUCUGUGAAUGGGAUAUUUAUUACAUAUGUUUUGGGAUUCCCGUAGAUAAGUAUGAUCUUUCGUAGUUCCUUUUGCAAGGCCUUUUAGGCCUGUUAUAGUCCUAAAAUAUAUUUAUUAAUAAUCGUAUGCAAUUAAUACAUUUAAUUAGUACAUUAUUACCGAUACGUAUACCAUGAAGGCUCUCUACACAUCCUUGGUUGGGAGCAAAUUAGAGUAUGGGGCGUUGAUUUGGUACCCCCUGUAUGUAAAAUACGAUGAAGCAAUUGAAUACAUCCAGCGGCGUCUUGUUAAAUACUUAUGCUACAGGAAAGAUGGAGUCUAUCCACCCAGGGGGUUUUCUCAGCAGAUAAUGUGUGAACGGUUUGAGCUGCUGCCCCUUAAAACUAGAAGGAAACGUCUCUGCCUAUCAUUUCUCUAUAAUAUCUUAAAUAAUAAAAUUAAUUCCCCGUCUGUGCCCGGGAAAAUUGGAUUCUGCGUCCCACGUUUGCCCUCAAGAUGCCCAGCACCAUUUUACCUACCAAGAUGUAAGACCCAUGUGCUUCAGAGAUCUCCAGUGCAUUUAAUCUGCUCGUUAUUUAAUGACUUAUCCGCGUCAGUAGACGUUUUUCAUGAAGGUUUGGGUCGGUUGUUGCAAUCAUUAGAGUUAUAAUUUAUUUUCUUUAUUAAUAUCUUGAAGUGUUUUUUUUAAAUUAAUUACUAAACUACUC